AAAUCGCGAUUUUGUUCUAGCACACGAUGGGAGCACACUUACCAACUAAUUAAGAUAGAUUUAUUUGAAUACACAUACACAUUGUCAACUAUUACUAUAUAAAUAUAAAAUCCCCCACAAAAAAAGUAAUUUAGCAUCAGUUUAUAAGCUAAUGUUAGCGAAUUGCCGCUAAGGAUUGAGAAGGCCUUGUGCCACAUGGCAAAUUCUUCAACCAGAACUGGACGAAGUGCACGAGAAAUGAAGGUAAUACAUUUAUUGUUUCUUUAAUUACAACUAAAGAUAGUUAUUCUCUAAGCUGUUAUUACAUCUCAGUGUUCUUGACCAACAAUGUUACUUGGCACUAAAUCGUUUUUUCUGGAAUUAUGUUUUUUAAAUGUAUGAUAUUGGUUGUUCAGUGCAGACAAUAUUAAUUGUAGAGCUGACAGUGUUAUAAUUUUAUAACAAUAUUUAUCUUUGAAGAUGUUAAGGUGUUAAGAUUUCUGACAGCACCCUAUUCUGAUGGUAUCUCACUAGCUUAAUAAGCUAAUGAGAUAGCCUACUACAGCAUUAGUAAGAACAUAAGUGAGAUAUGACUAAAGGCAGACUAAUACCAUUUGAUAAAUCCUAAUUUGAUUCCAAUCAAAUAUUGGUAUUUUCUGCAUUUGUCUCGCUGACUUUUUUUCAUCUUCCAAUUUAGAUUGUUUGCUAGUUGAGGAGCACAUGGGCAAUUGAAGAGCAUGUCAAAAAGGAGAGCCAGACUUAGUCCUGAGGCUGAGGCUAUUCAUUUUAUUUCUUCUGGAAGUGACAAGCCUUGUUAUAAGGUCAAAUGGAUCAAUGACUAUAAAGGACGUGGUGUAUUUGCCUGUGCACCAAUUGAAAAGGGAUCCUUUGUCCUCGAGUACCGUGGGGAGUUAAUAUCUGAAUAUGAACGGGACAAGAGGCAGGGGGAGUAUACGGAAAAGCAAAAUGCUUUUUUGUUUGAUUUUGAAUGGAACAAUGGCUCAUGGUGCUUAGAUGCGUCAUGCGAAGACGGUUCACUAGGGCGACUGGUGAAUGAUGCCAACAGGUCCCCAAAUUGCAAAAUGAGAAAGAUGACAGUCCGAUGUAAACCUCAUCUUUGCCUGUUUGCUAUUGAAAACAUCCAAGCAGAGAGUGAAAUCACCUAUGAUUAUGGAGAAUCUCUGUGGCCAUGGCGUG
Molecule: long non-coding RNA, 1176 nt
Organism: Gadus macrocephalus (Pacific cod)
Lineage: Eukaryota; Metazoa; Chordata; Actinopteri; Gadiformes; Gadidae
Exons: 3
Source: RefSeq, a predicted model, not a curated record